Molecule: long non-coding RNA, 2448 nt
Filed under: Nicotiana benthamiana
Lineage: Eukaryota; Viridiplantae; Streptophyta; Magnoliopsida; Solanales; Solanaceae
Description: long non-coding RNA (NBEN_LNC034519)
Source: RNAcentral
AAACAAUGCACACUUAUUCAAAUUAAUAGGAUAUUGAUUACAAGUUAAGAGCCUGAUAUUAACUACUAACCUAAAACUAUUAGUACAUACAUUGACAUAGUGAACUCAAAGAGACGAAAGAGUUGACACCCAUAACAAACUUGCUAAUAUUAACUACUGCAUUACAAAAAAAUUUUGAGACACAUGUUUAGCUUAAAAUUAGACUUGAUGUGGCCAUCACACACGUGCGACUCCAAACUGUUUCUGAUUUUUAAUUUUUUAACAGAAAAAUGCUAAACUAAAAUGAGUGUUAACUAUAUUAAGGCUAAUGCUAGAUAACCACAAGUUAAAACAGUCCAGUACGGAUCCAAACAGUCUAAAUCAGUAGAAAUAAUCGUAAUUAAAUAGUUCCUAGUUCAGUAUAAUCAAACAAAUUGAAACCAAACAAUUAUACAUUAUUGGACAGACUAUAGCUACAGACAUUCACAUGAGCAUAGAUCUGAAAUACUACUUCAUUCAUUCCAAUUUGAGGUUACAUCAGUGUGAAUUCAAAGCGUGUACCUAGAUUUGAAUGAACAGAAGAAUAAGAAGAAGUCAUAAGCAAGUAAUAACAAACGGUACCCAGCAGUCACAAGCAACAACAAUUGGCAGAAAUCAAAAAUAGCCCAGAGCUAAUUCAAUCCCAGGAAGAGUUUGAAACCAAGUAAAAACCACGCAACAACCACAAACUACUUAACACACUCAAAUGCAAUCAAAAUUUGACCCCGGAACUACAUGACUUCUUCAGCAAUCAAAAACAACCAACAACCACUCAAAUAAACCCCAAAAGAUUCUAUAUGCUCUCGAAUACAGAAUAGAAACCAAAGAAGCUCGAGUUGCUUCUGAUCCUAAAUGAGCUAGAAACUGGAAUUAACUGCUAGAAUCUGACAAUGACACUAAUGUAACAGUAUUUUUUUUUUAUUUUUUGUAACUUUCUAUGUAUUUUUUUGAGAUUUUCUACUGGAUUCUGUUUGUUUGUUGGAUUUGUUUUGCAGAAGCUAAGAUGUAGAAGAAGAUUUCAACUAUAAGAAUUCAGAUUUCUCUUUCUUUUUGGUUUGAAAUUCAAAUUUAAAGGCUCAGAUCUGUAAAAGAGUUUUUUUUUUGGGGGGGGGGGGGGUUUUUUGGGCUUAAACUUGUCAAUUCAGGUUUUUUAUUUUUUGUAACUUUCUAUGUAUUUUUUUGAGAUUUUCUACUGGAUUCUGUUUGUUUGUUGGAUUUGUUUUGCAGAAGCUAAGAUGUAGAAGAAGAUUUCAACUAUAAGAAUUCAGAUUUCUCUUUCUUUUUGGUUUGAAAUUCAAAUUUAAAGGCUCAGAUCUGUAAAAGAGUUUUUUUUUUGGGGGGGGGGGGGAUUUUUGGGCUUAAACUUGUCAAUUCAGGCAGAAUGUAUGCCUUUUAUAGGCAAAGUUUAAGGGAAACUUCAAAUUUUUAAUUUUCCAUCUUUGGUCCAUUUUGAAUUCUCAUUAUUGCUUAAGUAUCCCUGGAUUUAUGACUUGUUCUCUAAGUUCCACUACCCAAAAGGCUGAAAUUCAAAUUCCACCCCACCCUAGAAGCUUCUUAGUUUGUUAUGAGAGAUUCCCUAAUCCUCAAUUGCCUAAGCUAACCUUCCAGACCUUGGUAUUUACUUGUUAAAGCCAAUUGGGCAAGCUGACCUAAAUAAUGUGUCUACAGAAACCAAAAUGCAUCCCAAUUGGGCUUUGUUAUUCUUUACAAAUCUAAUGAACUACUUAAGGCCCUCCGGAAUAGAAUUUGACCCAUAUAUUCCCACAUAAAGAAAUCUAAAACUAUUUUCCAAAACAAGAGCAAAGUUCACUGAACCAAACAUUAUUGAAAUUUAAUUAAAUCAAAAAUCCAAUUACUGAUAAAACAUGGUAAAGAAACUGAACCAUGAACAGAAUGGGAUUGAAUACACAAACUAGAGAAGAAUGAACGAUAGUUACCCCUUUGGACAAAUUCUGGUUUGAAUCCUGCCUGACUUGCCAAGAAAAAGAAGUAAAGGAGAAUAUCAGAGGCAAGAAUAUUAAGACGAAUGGAUAGGAGAAGAACCUUCCUCGCAGCACUUGAAUUUGAACCUGGCUUAAUUUCGAUGCCAAAUAAUAUUGACCUCUAGUUCUUUGUCAAGAACAGGCGUACAACACUAUUUUGCGCAACAAUCGACUCUAUAACCUCGAGAAGGUCGGAGCAAUCGUACUGCAUGCUCAGGUUUGGUCUUGCAUCUUAUAGACUCUGAGUUUUUAUUUAAGAUUCGAGAGAGUUGGGGAGUAUUUGGGAAAAGUGAUUCAUGGAUUCAACACAAAGGUACUCUGGUGGUUUUGUGGUAUCAUUUUGGUAGCGUGUGAUAGUCAUGGCUGAUCUAGGGUUAAGAGAUGUGAAGGUGAAGAGAGAUAUGAGAUGAAGAUGAUGACCCGUUCUCUAGUUUUCGGACAAAUAUAA